GUGGGUGUAGCUCAAUGGUUAGAGCAUCAGGCUGUGGACCUGGGGGUUGAGGGUUCGAGACCCUUCACCCACCCCA
RNAcentral lists this transfer RNA (76 nucleotides) under Syntrophorhabdaceae bacterium. Its description in RNAcentral is "tRNA-His". It matches the Rfam family "tRNA". Rfam says of the family: Transfer RNA (tRNA) molecules are approximately 80 nucleotides in length. Their secondary structure includes four short double-helical elements and three loops (D, anti-codon, and T loops). Further hydrogen bonds mediate the characteristic L-shaped molecular structure. tRNAs have two regions of fundamental functional importance: the anti-codon, which is responsible for specific mRNA codon recognition, and the 3' end, to which the tRNAs corresponding amino acid is attached (by aminoacyl-tRNA synthetases). tRNAs cope with the degeneracy of the genetic code in two manners: having more than one tRNA (with a specific anti-codon) for a particular amino acid; and 'wobble' base-pairing, i.e. permitting non-standard base-pairing at the 3rd anti-codon position. The record is from RNAcentral. RNAcentral also lists the same sequence under 1 other name. Lineage: Bacteria; Pseudomonadati; Thermodesulfobacteriota; Syntrophorhabdia; Syntrophorhabdales; Syntrophorhabdaceae.